UUCCGAUCUAUCUAAUCCAAUCUCUGAAACAAAGUACAAACAGUCAAACAUACUAAAAGUCUAAAACUUACAAAUCAUUGCUUCCCAUAAUUAUUGACUCAUUCUAUAGGAUGGACAGCUCUCAUAUGUCUUGUAAAUGGUCCAGUCCUCCUAAAUUUCCUUCGGUCAAAUGUUGAAAAGUUUCGUUACAAAUUUUGCACUUAAUACUA
Molecule: long non-coding RNA, 209 nt
Filed under: Nicotiana benthamiana
Lineage: Eukaryota; Viridiplantae; Streptophyta; Magnoliopsida; Solanales; Solanaceae
Description: long non-coding RNA (NBEN_LNC006783)
Source: RNAcentral